Molecule: transfer RNA, 62 nt
Filed under: Pontastacus leptodactylus (narrow-clawed crayfish)
Lineage: Eukaryota; Metazoa; Arthropoda; Malacostraca; Decapoda; Astacidae
Description: Astacus leptodactylus (narrow-clawed crayfish) tRNA-His
Source: RNAcentral
AUUUAAAUAGUUUAAUAAAAACGUUGGUUUGUGGUACCAAAAUUAUAAUUAUAUUUUAAAUA